This 2321-nucleotide ribosomal RNA is filed under the name Salmonella enterica subsp. enterica serovar Johannesburg. RNAcentral describes it as "partial 23S ribosomal RNA". It matches the Rfam family "Bacterial large subunit ribosomal RNA", at positions 638 to 2925 of the family's 2925-position model. Lineage: Bacteria; Pseudomonadati; Pseudomonadota; Gammaproteobacteria; Enterobacterales; Enterobacteriaceae. The record is from RNAcentral.
UAGCAAGGUUAACCGAAUAGGGGAGCCGGAGGGAAACCGAGUCUUAACCGGGCGUUAAGUUGCAGGGUAUAGACCCGAAACCCGGUGAUCUAGCCAUGGGCAGGUUGAAGGUUGGGUAACACUAACUGGAGGACCGAACCGACUAAUGUUGAAAAAUUAGCGGAUGACCUGUGGCUGGGGGUGAAAGGCCAAUCAAACCGGGAGAUAGCUGGUUCUCCCCGAAAGCUAUUUAGGUAGCGCCUCGUGAAUUCAUCUCCGGGGGUAGAGCACUGUUUCGGCUAGGGGGCCAUCCCGGCUUACCAACCCGAUGCAAACUGCGAAUACCGGAGAAUGUUAUCACGGGAGACACACGGCGGGUGCUAACGUCCGUCGUGAAGAGGGAAACAACCCAGACCGCCAGCUAAGGUCCCAAAGUCAUGGUUAAGUGGGAAACGAUGUGGGAAGGCCCAGACAGCCAGGAUGUUGGCUUAGAAGCAGCCAUCAUUUAAAGAAAGCGUAAUAGCUCACUGGUCGAGUCGGCCUGCGCGGAAGAUGUAACGGGGCUAAACCAUGCACCGAAGCUGCGGCAGCGACGCUGAUGCGUUGUUGGGUAGGGGAGCGUUCUGUAAGCCUGCGAAGGUGUGUCGUGAGGCAUGCUGGAGGUAUCAGAAGUGCGAAUGCUGACAUAAGUAACGAUAAAGCGGGUGAAAAGCCCGCUCGCCGGAAGACCAAGGGUUCCUGUCCAACGUUAAUCGGGGCAGGGUGAGUCGACCCCUAAGGCGAGGCCGAAAGGCGUAGUCGAUGGGAAACGGGUUAAUAUUCCCGUACUUGGUGUUACUGCGAAGGGGGGACGGAGAAGGCUAUGUUGGCCGGGCGACGGUUGUCCCGGUUUAAGCGUGUAGGUGUGUGUUCCAGGUAAAUCCGGUUCACUUUAACACUGAGGCGUGAUGACGAGGCACUACGGUGCUGAAGCAACAAAUGCCCUGCUUCCAGGAAAAGCCUCUAAGCAUCAGGUAACAUCAAAUCGUACCCCAAACCGACACAGGUGGUCAGGUAGAGAAUACCAAGGCGCUUGAGAGAACUCGGGUGAAGGAACUAGGCAAAAUGGUGCCGUAACUUCGGGAGAAGGCACGCUGACACGUAGGUGAAGUGAUUUACUCAUGGAGCUGAAGUCAGUCGAAGAUACCAGCUGGCUGCAACUGUUUAUUAAAAACACAGCACUGUGCAAACACGAAAGUGGACGUAUACGGUGUGACGCCUGCCCGGUGCCGGAAGGUUAAUUGAUGGGGUCAGCGCAAGCGAAGCUCCUGAUCGAAGCCCCGGUAAACGGCGGCCGUAACUAUAACGGUCCUAAGGUAGCGAAAUUCCUUGUCGGGUAAGUUCCGACCUGCACGAAUGGCGUAAUGAUGGCCAGGCUGUCUCCACCCGAGACUCAGUGAAAUUGAACUCGCUGUGAAGAUGCAGUGUACCCGCGGCAAGACGGAAAGACCCCGUGAACCUUUACUAUAGCUUGACACUGAACAUUGAGCCUUGAUGUGUAGGAUAGGUGGGAGGCUUUGAAGUGUGGACGCCAGUCUGCAUGGAGCCGGCCUUGAAAUACCACCCUUUAAUGUUUGAUGUUCUAACGUGGACCCGUGAUCCGGGUUGCGGACAGUGUCUGGUGGGUAGUUUGACUGGGGCGGUCUCCUCCUAAAGAGUAACGGAGGAGCACGAAGGUUGGCUAAUCCUGGUCGGACAUCAGGAGGUUAGUGCAAUGGCAUAAGCCAGCUUGACUGCGAGCGUGACGGCGCGAGCAGGUGCGAAAGCAGGUCAUAGUGAUCCGGUGGUUCUGAAUGGAAGGGCCAUCGCUCAACGGAUAAAAGGUACUCCGGGGAUAACAGGCUGAUACCGCCCAAGAGUUCAUAUCGACGGCGGUGUUUGGCACCUCGAUGUCGGCUCAUCACAUCCUGGGGCUGAAGUAGGUCCCAAGGGUAUGGCUGUUCGCCAUUUAAAGUGGUACGCGAGCUGGGUUUAGAACGUCGUGAGACAGUUCGGUCCCUAUCUGCCGUGGGCGCUGGAGAACUGAGGGGGGCUGCUCCUAGUACGAGAGGACCGGAGUGGACGCAUCACUGGUGUUCGGGUUGUCAUGCCAAUGGCACUGCCCGGUAGCUAAAUGCGGAAGAGAUAAGUGCUGAAAGCAUCUAAGCACGAAACUUGCCCCGAGAUGAGUUCUCCCUGAGACUUAGAGUCUCCUGAAGGAACGUUGAAGACGACGACGUUGAUAGGCCGGGUGUGUAAGCGCAGCGAUGCGUUGAGCUAACCGGUACUAAUGAACCGUGAGGCUUAACCUUACAACGCCGAAG